Small nuclear RNA from Sorex araneus (European shrew), 162 nucleotides. RefSeq annotates it as U1 spliceosomal RNA. The record is from RefSeq and is a predicted model, not a curated record. Lineage: Eukaryota; Metazoa; Chordata; Mammalia; Eulipotyphla; Soricidae. The transcript has a single exon.
AGAGAUCUGCCACCCCUAACACUAUGAUUAUGAAGGUGGUUUUCCCAGGGUGAGGCGUAUCCAUUGUACUCCAGAUGUGCUGACCCCUGUGAUUUCUCCAAAUGUUGGAAACUCGACUGCAUAAUUUCUGGUAGUGGGGGACUGCUUUCAUGCUCUCCCUGA